Molecule: long non-coding RNA, 700 nt
Organism: Xenia sp. Carnegie-2017
Lineage: Eukaryota; Metazoa; Cnidaria; Anthozoa; Malacalcyonacea; Xeniidae
Exons: 2
Source: RefSeq, a predicted model, not a curated record
CCACAAUCUGGGUUUGGUUUACGAUAAUAUGGGAGAGUACGAAAAAGCAAAAGAUUUUCAUGAACGAGCGAUGAAAAUUACAUUUGGACCUGACCAUGUUAAUAUUACGAGAAAUGAAUCACGUUGUAAUUUACUGUGAUAGGAAAAAGACGAAAAACCAACACAAUAAAGUUUAUAACGAGUGACAGAACUUGAAAGUGAAGCAUUUGACCUCUAUAUUUAUCUUUUAUUUGCUAACAGCUAAAAGUCUUUCGUAUUUGAGAAACGUUUCACGAGAUAAAGGAAGAAAAGACAGUUGUAUUUUCAGUUUAGAGCGAUAGAAUUUCAAACAAAAGUAUUUGGACCUGAACAUGUACUGCAAAAAUAUACAACAAUCUUCAUUUGGUUUUAAACAAACUAUAGAUAUUGAAACUGAAGCAUUUGAACUUCUAUUUAUCUUUUAUUUGCUAGAAGAUAAAAUACUCCUGUUUUUGUGAAAACGUACAAAGAGAUAGAAGAAGAGGAAAUGAAUUUUUACCUCAUUUUCAAUGAAGAAGAAAAUCAAUUUCUCUUUUCAUUUUAGGUAGUGAUGUAGCCAAGAAAAAUGGAGCUUUUACUUUAAUUAUGUGUGUCAUCUCAUAUGUAGUGUAGUGAGUAACGAAAAAGUAAUUGAACAACAAAAUAUUUAUUUUCAUAGCACUGGUAGACUUGCUAUACACUA